RNAcentral lists this ribosomal RNA (253 nucleotides) under uncultured bacterium. Its description in RNAcentral is "partial 16S ribosomal RNA". It matches the Rfam family "Bacterial small subunit ribosomal RNA", at positions 524 to 776 of the family's 1533-position model. The record is from RNAcentral.
UACAGAGGGUGCGAGCGUUAAUCGGAAUUACUGGGCGUAAAGCGUGCGUAGACGGUUACGUAAGUCAGGCGUGAAAUUCCUGGGCUUAACCUGGGGGCUGCGCUUGAGACUGUGGGACUUGAGGUCAGAAGAGGGUCGUGGAAUUCCCAGUGUAGAGGUGAAAUUCGUAGAUAUCAAGCGGAACACCGGUGGCGAAGGCGGCCUUCUGGACAGUAACUGACGCUGAGACGCGAAAGCGUGGGGAGCAAACAGG